AACGAACGCUGGCGGCGUGCUUAACACAUGCAAGUCGAACGGAUCAAGGGGCUUGCUCCUUGAUUAGUGGCGCACGGGUGAGUAACGCGUGGAUAAUCUGCCCGACGAUCUGGGAUAACAUCUCGAAAGGGGUGCUAAUACCGGAUAAGCCCACAAGAUCUUCGGAUCUUGCGGGAAAAGAGGGGGACCUUCGGGCCUCUUGUCGUUGGAUGAGUCCGCGUACCAUUAGCUAGUUGGCGGGGUAAAGGCCCACCAAGGCUACGAUGGUUAGCUGGUCUGAGAGGAUGAUCAGCCACACUGGAACUGAGACACGGUCCAGACUCCUACGGGAGGCAGCAGUGGGGAAUUUUGCGCAAUGGGGGAAACCCUGACGCAGCAACGCCGCGUGAGUGAUGAAGGCCUUCGGGUCGUAAAGCUCUGUCUAGAGGAAAGAAGUGUAUGGCAGCCAAUACCUGUCAUACUUGACGGUACCUCUGAAGGAAGCACCGGCUAACUCCGUGCCAGCAGCCGCGGUAAUACGGAGGGUGCGAGCGUUGUUCGGAUUUAUUGGGCGUAAAGCGCGUGUAGGCGGUUUCUUAAGUCUGAUGUGAAAGCCCCGGGCUCAACCUGGGAAGUGCAUUGGAUACUGGGAGACUUGAAUACGGGAGAGGGUAGUGGAAUUCCUAGUGUAGGAGUGAAAUCCGUAGAUAUUAGGAGGAACACCGGUGGCGAAGGCGGCUACCUGGACCGAUAUUGACGCUGAGACGCGAAAGCGUGGGUAGCAAACAGGAUUAGAUACCCUGGUAGUCCACGCCGUAAACGAUGAGAACUAGGUGUUGCGGGUAUUGACCCCUGCAGUGCCGCAGCUAACGCAUUAAGUUCUCCGCCUGGGAAGUACGGUCGCAAGACUA
Molecule: ribosomal RNA, 890 nt
Filed under: uncultured bacterium
Lineage: Bacteria
Description: bacterial SSU rRNA
Rfam family: Bacterial small subunit ribosomal RNA
Source: RNAcentral